CCUACGGGUGGCAGCAGUGAGGAAUAUUGGUCAAUGGACGCAAGUCUGAACCAGCCAUGCCGCGUGCAGGAAGACGGCUCUAUGAGUUGUAAACUGCUUUUGUACGAGGGUAAACGCAGAUACGCGUAUCUGUCUGAAAGUAUCAUACGAAUAAGGAUCGGCUAACUCCGUGCCAGCAGCCGCGGUAAUACGGAGGAUUCAAGCGUUAUCCGGAUUUAUUGGGUUUAAAGGGUGCGUAGGCGGGCGGAUAAGUUAGUGGUGAAAUCCCGAGGCUCAACUUCGGAAUUGCCUCUGAUACUGUUCGUCUAGAGAGUAGUUGCGGUAGGCGGAAUGUAUGGUGUAGCGGUGAAAUGCUUAGAGAUCAUACAGAACACCGAUUGCGAAGGCAGCUCACCAAGCUACUUCUGACGUUGAGGCACGAAAGCGUGGGGAGCAAACAGGAUUAGAUACCCCUGUAGUC
This 460-nucleotide ribosomal RNA is filed under the name uncultured bacterium. RNAcentral describes it as "partial 16S ribosomal RNA". It matches the Rfam family "Bacterial small subunit ribosomal RNA", at positions 338 to 795 of the family's 1533-position model. The record is from RNAcentral.